CAAGAGUGCAGAAAUAAAAAGCUUGAUUUUUUGCUUCUUUUAAAACAAAGAAACCAAGGAUUAAGCAGCGGCCAGACAACCGUAGCGAUGGUAUCCACAGAUGAAGGGCUAAUUUCUUUUUUAAUCCCUUCUUUGUCUACUGAUUCCAUCUCACACUU
Molecule: small nucleolar RNA, 158 nt
Organism: Gossypium raimondii (Peruvian cotton)
Lineage: Eukaryota; Viridiplantae; Streptophyta; Magnoliopsida; Malvales; Malvaceae
Rfam family: small nucleolar RNA snoR143
Source: Rfam